RNAcentral lists this ribosomal RNA (813 nucleotides) under uncultured bacterium. RNAcentral describes it as "bacterial SSU rRNA". It matches the Rfam family "Bacterial small subunit ribosomal RNA", at positions 8 to 796 of the family's 1533-position model. The record is from RNAcentral.
AGAGUUUGAUCCUGGCUCAGAACGAACGCUGGCGGCGUGGAUUAGGCAUGCAAGUCGAACGAUCCUUGACAUCGUAAGAUGUCAAGGAUAGUGGCAAAAGGGCGAGUAACGCGUGGGCAACCUGCCUCCGAAACCGGGAUAACUUUGCGAAAGCGAGGCUAAUACCGGAUAAGACCACGGUCCAUAAGGACUGUGGUCAAAGGAAGCCUCUAUUUAUAAGCUACCAUUUGGAGAGGGGCCUGCGUCCUAUCAGCUAGUUGGUGAGGUAACGGCCCACCAAGGCUAUUGACGGGUAGCUGGUCUAAGAGGAUGGUCAGCCGCAUUGGGACUGAGACACUGCCCAGACUCCUACGGGAGGCUGCAGUCGAGAAUCUUUAGCAAUGCCCGAAAGGGUGACUAUGCGACGCCGCGUGAGCGAUGAAGGUCUUCGGAUUGUAAAGCUCUGUCGAGUGGGAUGAAUAUCACAUCCAUAACAUGGGUGUGGAAUGACAGUACCACUAAAGGAAGCCACGGCUAACUCCGUGCCAGCAGCCGCGGUAAUACGGAGGUGGCAAGCGUUGUUCGGAUUUAUUGGGUGUAAAGGGCAGGUAGGUGUCCUAGUAAGUUCUGGUUGAAAUCCUUCAGCUCAACUGGAGAACUGGUCAGAAAACUGCUAGGAUUGAGUGCGGAAGAGGAGAACGGAAUUCCCGGUGUAAGGGUGAAAUCUGUAGAUAUCGGGAAGAACACCAGUGGCGAAGGCGGUUCUCUGGUACGUUACUGACACUGAACUGCGAAAGCUAGGGGAGCAAACAGGAUUAGAUACCCUGGUAGUCC